AUUGAACGCUGGCGGCAUGCCUUACACAUGCAAGUCGAACGGCAGCACGGGAGCAAUCCUGGUGGCGAGUGGCGAACGGGUGAGUAAUAUAUCGGAACGUGCCCAGUCGUGGGGAUAACGUAGCGAAAGCUACGCUAAUACCGCAUACGAUCUAUGGAUGAAAGCGGGGGAUCGCAAGACCUCGCGCGAUUGGAGCGGCCGAUAUCAGAUUAGGUAGUUGGUGAGGUAAAGGCUCACCAAGCCGACGAUCUGUAGCUGGUCUGAGAGGACGACCAGCCACACUGGGACUGAGACACGGCCCAGACUCCUACGGGAGGCAGCAGUGGGGAAUUUUGGACAAUGGGCGCAAGCCUGAUCCAGCAAUGCCGCGUGCAGGAUGAAGGCCUCGGGUUGUAAACGU
Molecule: ribosomal RNA, 400 nt
Filed under: uncultured bacterium
Lineage: Bacteria
Description: bacterial SSU rRNA
Rfam family: Bacterial small subunit ribosomal RNA
Source: RNAcentral